UUUAAUUGAAGAGUUUGAUCAUGGCUCAGAUUGAACGCUGGCGGCAGGCCUAACACAUGCAAGUCGAGCGGUAACAGGGGAAGCUUGCUUCCCGCUGACGAGCGGCGGACGGG
This 113-nucleotide ribosomal RNA is filed under the name Providencia rettgeri. RNAcentral's name for it is "partial 16S ribosomal RNA". It matches the Rfam family "Bacterial small subunit ribosomal RNA", at positions 1 to 106 of the family's 1533-position model. Lineage: Bacteria; Pseudomonadati; Pseudomonadota; Gammaproteobacteria; Enterobacterales; Morganellaceae. The record is from RNAcentral.